GAUACAUCGGUCUAGGGCGUCUUCACCCCCUGUGGGCUGAGCUGUUCCCAGGGCCUCGGGUCUUCCAGGAUUGGUGUCAGUUUUCUUCCUCCAAGAUGUCAGAGCUGGUUAUAUAAUUCUGGUCGCUUUUAGAACCCCUGAAGAAGCCGACUACGGCGAAAUAUAUUGGGUCAAAUAACAUCCCAAACCGACCAGUAGUUCAACAUUGGGGAAUUCCAGCAACCCAAAUAUCCGAAUUCUGACAAAUUGUUUUUAAAUGGUGUAUUAUGUAUUGUAUAAAAUUCAAACUUUGAUGUUUUAAUAAAUUGUUAUAAAAUU
Rana temporaria (common frog) is the source of this 318-nucleotide long non-coding RNA. RefSeq lists it as uncharacterized. The transcript is spliced from 2 exons. Lineage: Eukaryota; Metazoa; Chordata; Amphibia; Anura; Ranidae. The record is from RefSeq and is a predicted model, not a curated record.